Acanthopagrus latus (yellowfin seabream) is the source of this 832-nucleotide long non-coding RNA. RefSeq lists it as uncharacterized. The transcript is spliced from 2 exons. The record is from RefSeq and is a predicted model, not a curated record. Lineage: Eukaryota; Metazoa; Chordata; Actinopteri; Spariformes; Sparidae.
CCUGCACUCCCUGUCUGUUCAUUCCUUCUGGUUUUGUCUCUGUCUGCUCAUGUCCCAGCCUGAUGUUCUCCCUGUGCCUCAUCUCCUGUUUGGAGCAGCGAGGAGACAAAAUGUUUAAGAGGAGGAUCUCACCCCUCGCUUCCUUCACCCGAGCCGCCCUCAGCAGCGCGAUCCUCCAACAAACUGCCAAUAUUCUUACUGCAGGAGUCAGGAAGAGAUGUCGUACCAGGUCCUGACGCUGUCGCUGGAAGAGGCUGAGAGUGCAACUUUUUAAAAAAACAUUGAGAUAAUUAACCGGUGGCCCGAACGAGAGACGCGGCUCACCUCGUUUCACCUCGUUUCACCUCCUCACGUCUGCUGGAAGCUGCCUGGAUGUCAGGAGGAGUCGCAGAGCACCAGGGAGGGAAACCACACAGACUGAGGGGGCUUCUCUUCUGCUUUAAAGGCUAAUUCUGGUUAAUUAGCUGUUUGUUAAGUCCAUGUGUUGCUAAUGAUAUGCCCUCCAAGGUCUCCACUCUUAUUCUUGUUGAAUUUUUUUUUUAUUCUGAUUUCAGUGAGAUGAAGACGAGUCGGCCCUGUUACCAGGAUCAAAUGUUGGCAUUUCAGGAGGAGCUCAGGUUUCACCAUGGCUCGAUUCUAUCAAGUGACACAGUCAAACAUGUCAGUGAGGGAGCCUGCACGAAACCAGAGUCCUGGAACCAGCUCACCUGAAUGGAAUGCGGCCAUCAUUAGUGUUAGAAAUUCCACCUGUGCUUUUCCUGCUUUGACGAGUCAAAGCGACUGCCGUGAAAAUGUUUUAUUUGCAACCAAAAAAAAAAAUGUUGGAAAGAUU